AUGCUCGAGAAGGCCACGCUGCUCAAGAAGUCCAAGCUGGAGGGGCUCAGGCAGAAAGUUUCUUCCCCUGGGCUCCUGCCGGCGGCCGAACUCAUGGAGCUGGCGGCGAAGGAGCCGUCCCCUCUGCCUCGCCCGAACGUGCUGGAGCUGGCGGCAUCCGGGGGGCUGCUAAUCGCUUGGGACGACGCUAAUCUAGAGUGCACUAACGUUCAUCUAGACCGGUUCUUCAUCACGUGUUGGUUCUCCUUCCGGGCAACUGACGUUUCCUUCACUAUUACCAACGUAUAUGGGCCGUGCGAUCUUUCCCUUAAACAAGAAUUCUUGGACUCCCUAAUCCUUGCGUCGUCUACGAUUACUUGCCCCUGGCUGGUAUUCGGGGAUUUCAACCUUAUUCUUCGCCCAAGAGACAAAUCUUCCAACCACUUUAACUCUAACGAAGCUAGGCUAUUUGCUUCGGCCAUUAACUCCAUGCAGCUCCAAGAAAUCCCGCUCCUAGACCGUCUCUACACGUGGUCUAAUCAACAAGACAACCCUACUCUAGUCCGGCUAGAUAGGGCUUUCGUUAACAUGGCUUGGUCAUCGGUGUUCCCGGACUCCACGCUCUCUUCUUUGACAAGGACUACCUUGGAUCACGUCCCGAUUUUGUUACAUGCAUCCUCGGACAUACCAAAACCCUCAAUCUUCAGGCUUAAUAACUGUCUCCUGUCUAACCACUCGUUUCUGCAGCAAAUCUCAACCACCUGGUCUAGCGUGGGUCCUCGCCACUCCCAUUUGGGCAGCGCGGGCAAGCUUUGCCUAAAAUUAAAACGGUCUAGAAAUGUUGCGAAAAAGUGGGCAGUUAAUGCUAAAACCCCAAAGCGUCUGGCUACAAACUGCACUACAACCAUCGAUUUCCUCGACAAGCUGGAGGAGUUUAGACCCCUUUCAACUCUUGAGCUUAGUCUCCGAAUGGCG
This 954-nucleotide ribosomal RNA is filed under the name Triticum aestivum (bread wheat). RNAcentral describes it as "partial small subunit ribosomal RNA". The record is from RNAcentral. Lineage: Eukaryota; Viridiplantae; Streptophyta; Magnoliopsida; Poales; Poaceae.